CAAACUUGAAGUUAACUCAGCUCAGUAUUCUAAACAAUCAGUCCAGGAAAGCAAUAAAUUACAACUCAGUAAGAACAAUACAUUUAAACUGACUCAUGAACUGUAAAGUUUAAUCCUGUGAAAUAGAUUUGUCAAUCUGUUCCUUUGUACUGGCAGCACUUGAAUCUUCGGUCAGAAUUCUCUUAAUUAUGAACUUUCUUAAUUUGAUCGUGUUUAGCCUUUUCUCUCUUUGUAAGUGUGCCAGUUACUAUGAAUUAUGCAUCUUCUAUUUAAACACAGUUCUCCAAAAAGUCAUUCUUUAUUUCAAACUUCUCCUUUAAUCAGAACUCUCAUUGCAUAGAGUUCUAUUUCAAGUGAGACUCCUUCUUCAAUUCCAACUCUUGUCUCCUUAGUGUUGUAGUCAAACUCCAACUCUUUAAAUCAUCUUUAUCUUUAAGUAUUUUACUCAACCACAACUUCUUCAAUUUCUUACGUGAUUAGUAAUUUAAGUAUAUCAGAAUUUGGCUCGCUCAUUCAUUCCUGACUUUAGGCAAUCUUUGUCUGCAUCUAUCAGUGAUACUUGAAACUUGUCUUCCUAUGCUUGGACUAACUCAAGUAACAUGGUCCAUUCAUGUGUCAUCCAUCAAAAACUUAAUUGAUCUAACAAAGAGUCCUUCAAUUAGUAUGUUUCCUAUCUUCGGUAGAUUUCUUCAAUUUGCAAAAUUUUUCUCCUUCUACACAUAUGACUCCUCAAAAUAUGCUCAGAAGUGAAACUCCUUCUUUCCAUAGGAUUCCUUUUCCAACUCAACUUGCUUUCCCUGUAUCAUAAAGUGUUUGAAUCAAAUUCAACUUCUUCAAAUUAGGAUAUGUGUUUGAAUCAAAUUCAACUUCUUCAAAUUAGGAUAUGUUUAUUUCCUUGAGUUUAUCAGAAUUAACCAAUUAUCUAGUUCUUGAUUUCUUCCACCCUUGCCUUUAAUCAUUGAUGAUUUUGCUACGAGUUCAGCUACAUGAGACAGUGCGUCUGUGAACCAGCUUAACUGACAUGUUUCAUAUCACUUUGUCAGUUUGUCAAUCAUCAAAACUACAUCGUACCCAAUACUAUUUUACUCAAAGAGCAGAAAUUUUGCCAUUUUUAACACAUCUUUCAUUAUCAUACGCGCUUGACAAUGAAACAUGAAAUUUCUGUUCUUCAAAUAGAACAAGUAAUCAUAAGAUUAAACAGUUCUAAGAUAAUCAGGGGAGGCUCAUUUUUGUCAAAACAGAGACUUCAUUUACAUUUUUUUUUUUCUAAAUUUGAUUUCUGUAAUGAAAGUGUUAAUAGCAUCAAGGGGUGAGCUCAACAGACAUUUGAUCUUUUAGACUUCUCCAAAUUGCACUUUUAAGGUUUUAAGGAGAAAUAUGCGACCAUAUUGUGAUGACCCACCACGGCAUCACGCCACUUAGGCGCCACUUGGCACAAAGUUGUCCAUGUGAAAGACUUACAUGAGAAGGAGAUCAGUCCUUGGCGGAAGACAUAAAGAGAAUUCCAUUGGGAGAUCUGAGAAUUCUAUAGAAUUGCGUGGGAGCUCCUUGGAACAUUCUAGUUGUGUAGAGAAUUCUAGAAUAAGAACUUGUAUAUUAUUUAUAUUUAUACUUUAGCUCCUAGGAGAGUAAUAUAAAUAGAGGGUAUUCAUUAGAAAAAUCAUCAAGAAAAAAUAUUCAUGUUCUCUCUAAUACAAAUCUUCCUAAUAAUUCUUUUAUAUAUUUUUUUCAUUAUCUCAGUGAUUCCUAGUGUCUUAGGAUGACUUGACACAGCAAAAGCAUGAGCAAAUGGUGUAAUAGCGUGAACGAUUUAUCAAAUGCCACACAUGUGCUUAGUUGAAGACUAACGACGUAACAAAGUAGUAUCAGAGCAAGGUUAUAACUAAGGAAAUGGCAAAUGACGGAGAAUUUAACACUGCUAACACCCUGUCUAGCAUCAGUCAGGAUGUCGCUGGUAAGAAGGUAGAUGAAAAGAAGAGAAAUGCCGCUAAUAUGAGCAACGAGGUUAUGUAUGAAGUUGUGUCAAGUGCUUACCUCCAAGGAACCAUCUACCACGAAGGGGAGCAAGGAUGGAGUAAAGGUCCUGCCCGAGGACAUCUCGCUCGAUAAGGAGCGGGUUAUGAAGGUUAAUGUAGGGAUACACUAUUGACAUCUUUUACCAAUGUUGUGGAGGGUAUCCUUGGAGUUCUUAAAUGACACACUCUUGAAGAUAUCGAGAGCAUCUAAAAUGACUUGGAGGGGCAUAUACAGGCCAAGGUUGAGCUACUACAAACCAUCACUACACGAGUGCAUACUUAUGAAGGCGUGAGCACUAUCGAUGCCUUGAAAGCAAAGGUAGAAGUACUCAAAGAGCUGUUUAACGAUGGCACAACUGAAGCAGGUAGGAAUGUUAUUCUGACGAGAGAGACUAAGAUUGAGGCUAAUGCACAGGAGGUAGAGAACUUUCUUUGGCACUUGGAGAACUAUUUCAAGCAUCGAAAAGUAAGAGACGAUGAAUCCAAGAUCAACACCGCUGUGUUGUAACUAUUCGAGAAUAUCAUGCUAUGGUGGAGAAGGAAAAUAGUUGAUGUUGAGAGAGGUACGUACAAUACUAAGAUGUGGGAUCGGUUUUAAGGCCAAGUUCAUGCGUCAGUUCUUCCAAAAUAAUAUCCUGUACGAGGAAAGAAGAAAAUUUAGGGAGUUCAAGCAGACAGAGCAUACGUGACUAUGUUAAGGUGUUCAUAUGAUUCAAAUUCCCAAACACACAAAUGAUGAUUUGUUGUUCAACUUCAUUGGACGGGUUGCAGAAUUGGGCUAAGCAGGAGUUGCAACGUCGAUGAGUCACAAAUUUAUACUGAGCCAUAUUGGAUUUCGAGGAUUUCGAGUCUUUGAUGAAUCCAAUAAUGAGAAGUUUGACAAGGAAAAAGACAACGAGUCUCAGGAUGGCAGUGCUAAAUGUGGUGGAGAAUAUGAUACAAGCAAGGAAGUACAUCAACACCACUAUAAGACACAAGAUAUCCACAAGUUUGAUAGCAAGGAGUCAAUUGGUUGUCAGAGCUACACUGAAAAGAAUACACCAGCCGAGAAGAAGGGAUGCUACAUAUGCUGAGGGCUACAUAGCUUUAAGAAUUAUUCUGACUUAAAAGAGUCUUAGCACUAUGGUGCUUGAGCAGAAGGAGCAGGCGCAAGGAGAGAGUUCGUUCACAACUCAAUUGGGUAUAAUUGGACUAUGUGGAUCCAUCAUACUAGUCAAACCAACGAGAAUGAAAAUUAGUAGGUGGACCUAAUCAUCAACAACAAUCUCGCUCGUGCAUUAGUGGACACUAGAGUAACUCAUAAUUUUGUGAUCGAGGCCGCAACGAAGAGACUAGAGUUGAAGUCCUAUCCAACUAAUUCCCAUGUUAAGACCGUGAAUGUCGAGCCUCAAAAUGCUCAUGGUGUUGCUAAUGGUGUUGGUGUGAAAUUAGGCAACUGAAAAGGUACAAUAAACUUUACAACAAUGGAAAUCUUUGAUAUUAUCCUAGGGCAAGAGCUCUUUAAAAAUUGUCAUACUUUGAUCAAUCCCUACCUCCAUUAUCAUUGGGUAAUAGAACAAGGAGGACAGUAAUUAUGGUGCCCAAACAGAACCAAGCACAACUUUUGUUUAUGCAGGUAGUCAAAGGGCUCAUGAAAUGAGCGUCUUCAUUCAAGAAAACCAAUGUAAGUCUUAAGGAAGAUAAGGAUAAACAAACAUUCUCAUGUUCCACAUCUAUUAGAAGGACAAUCAUCGGAGAAAGACAUAUGAGAAAGAUAUGAGGCCUUGUGGUAAUUUAAAGAUAAGAUCUGGGAGUUUAUGCAACAACAAUAGGCAACGGUCGUCGUAAGAACGGGUGAGGAAGAGUGUGAUGACCCACCACGUCAUCACAAUUUAGGUGCCAUGUGGAACAAACUUGUCCAUGUGGAAGACUUACAUAAGAAAGAGACUAGCCUUGGUAGAAUAUUCUAGAGACAUAAAGAGAAUUCCAUUGGAAGACCUUAAAAUUCUAUAGAAUUGUAUGGAAGGUCCUUCGGACAUUCUAGUCAUGUAGGGAAUUCUAGAAUAAUGACUUGUAUAUUAAUUUAUAUUUACACUUUAGCUUCUAGGAGAGUAGUAUAAAUAGAGGGGCAUCUAUUUGCAAAAUCAUCAAGAAAAUAUAUUCAU
Molecule: long non-coding RNA, 4159 nt
Filed under: Capsicum annuum
Lineage: Eukaryota; Viridiplantae; Streptophyta; Magnoliopsida; Solanales; Solanaceae
Description: long non-coding RNA (CANN_LNC021937)
Source: RNAcentral